UUUGGUGUUUUGAUUGCAAAACGACGCCGUUUUCAAAUUGGGGGAAAAAUUAAAAUUAGGGUUCUUAGAAACAUUAGUGAACCGGAGAGAGUGUGAGUGAGUUUGAAGAGAAACAUCUCAAUUCAAAACGAAACUGUGUCUAAUAAUCGAAGAAGCGAUCCCUUGUUUGACGAAAACGACUUCCAAGCUACAAUUUUGGGUCUUUGAGAAGAGAGAAUGAGGUAAUGAGUAGUUUCUUCUUUCUUUGUUUAUGUCAAUUUAAUUUGUUAAGUCUAAAUGAUAUGAUAUUUUCGUAUUAGAAUCAUUCCUUUUUUCAAUUUACAUAUAAAGCAAGUCUCAGCAACUUCAAUUUCUUCAUUGUAGAGUUCGAUUUUAAUUAACCCUCCAAGUGUUCGAUGAAAUGUCUGAGAGAGUUGUAAUUGGGUUGAAUGUUAAUUUUUUGAUGUCGUUUGCAGUACUAUGGAUGUGGCAACAUUCAGUGUGUACUACGGUGGGAAUUGGGUGACUAGUGAAGAUGAGGAGGAUGCUUAUAUCGGUGGAGAGGUGAAGAUGCUAGAGUGUAAACCGGAGGAAUUUUAUACAAAAUUAGGGUCUGAACUCAACACCAAACCAAAUGUUAAC
This 621-nucleotide long non-coding RNA is filed under the name Arabidopsis lyrata. Its description in RNAcentral is "long non-coding RNA (ALYR_LNC002433)". Lineage: Eukaryota; Viridiplantae; Streptophyta; Magnoliopsida; Brassicales; Brassicaceae. The record is from RNAcentral.